Molecule: long non-coding RNA, 556 nt
Organism: Rattus rattus (black rat)
Lineage: Eukaryota; Metazoa; Chordata; Mammalia; Rodentia; Muridae
Exons: 2
Source: RefSeq, a predicted model, not a curated record
UUUACUCCAUGUAACCUUGCUAUUCACCCACUCUUUAGCCCAUGGAACAGGGAGAGAAACUUGUAUGUUAAUGCUAGUGGUUGAGGAAGUUGAGUUAGGAGGCAGAGGUGGGAAGGUUGUACUCAUGCUUGAUGUUUGCUGUUUCCGGCAGAUUAUAAUUAGACUGUGGAACAAGUCUGCAUUCACGACUCACAAAGAGGACAUCAGCACAUGAAGCUGUCAUCAUGAACAGGGUCUCCAGUAACACAGAGGGCUCUGACCACCAAGGAACCACACCAACUUUGGAGUCUCCUAGCAAACUACAAGAGGCAAAACCAUUAGUGAGUGGCAUGAAACAUUAUGUGGAGACUCUUUGCUAUCAGCACCCAGAACGUGCUUGAUACCCCUGGUGUCAGCUUGAGACAAUUCAGGCAAACCAGUCUUGACUGACAUCACUUUUUCCUGGUUACUUUCUAAGCCCUUCAUUCUGAUUAAAUUGCAGGGGUCAGUUUUCUGCCACCCAACCCCAUGCUUUGCCUGUAAGUCCCCAGUAAAAUGCCCAUUGUAUUGUUCUAGA